Molecule: ribosomal RNA, 466 nt
Filed under: uncultured bacterium
Lineage: Bacteria
Description: partial 16S ribosomal RNA
Rfam family: Bacterial small subunit ribosomal RNA
Source: RNAcentral
GAUGAACGCUAGCGGCGUGCUUAACACAUGCAAGUCGAACGGAAAGGCCCAAGCUUGCUUGGGUACUCGAGUGGCGAACGGGUGAGUAACACGUGGGUGAUCUGCCCUGCACUUCGGGAUAAGCCUGGGAAACUGGGUCUAAUACCGGAUAGGACCACAUUUUGGAUGGUGUGGUGGAAAGUUUUUCGGUGUGGGAUGAGCUCGCGGCCUAUCAGCUUGUUGGUGGGGUAAUGGCCUACCAAGGCGUCGACGGGUAGCCGGCCUGAGAGGGUGUACGGCCACAUUGGGACUGAGAUACGGCCCAGACUCCUACGGGAGGCAGCAGUGGGGAAGAUUGCACAAUGGGCGCAAGCCUGAUGCAGCGACGCCGCGUGGGGGAUGACGGCCUUCGGGUUGGAAACUCCUUUCGCUAGGGACGAAGCGUUUUUGUGACGGUACCUGGAGAAGAAGCACCGGCUAACUACGU